RNAcentral lists this ribosomal RNA (416 nucleotides) under uncultured microorganism. RNAcentral's name for it is "bacterial SSU rRNA". It matches the Rfam family "Bacterial small subunit ribosomal RNA", at positions 9 to 430 of the family's 1533-position model. The record is from RNAcentral.
GAGUUUGAUCGUGGCUCAGAUUGAACGCUGGCGGCAUGCCUUACACAUGCAAGUCGAACGGUAACAGGUCUUCGGACGCUGACGAGUGGCGAACGGGUGAGUAAUACAUCGGAACGUGCCCAGUCGUGGGGGAUAACUACUCGAAAGAGUAGCUAAUACCGCAUACGAUCUGAGGAUGAAAGCGGGGGACCUUCGGGCCUCGCGCGAUUGGAGCGGCCGAUGGCAGAUUAGGUAGUUGGUGGGAUAAAAGCUUACCAAGCCGACGAUCUGUAGCUGGUCUGAGAGGACGACCAGCCACACUGGGACUGAGACACGGCCCAGACUCCUACGGGAGGCAGCAGUGGGGAAUUUUGGACAAUGGGCGAAAGCCUGAUCCAGCAAUGCCGCGUGCAGGAUGAAGGCCUUCGGUUGUAACG